GACGAACGCUGGCGGCGUGCUUAACACAUGCAAGUCGAACGGUAAGGCCCUUCGGGGUACACGAGUGGCGAACGGGUGAGUAACACGUGGGUGAUCUGCCCUGCACUUCGGGAUAAGCCUGGGAAACUGGGUCUAAUACCGGAUAGGACUCCUGCCUGCAUGGGUGGGGGUGGAAAGCUUUUGUGGUGUGGGAUGGGCCCGCGGCCUAUCAGCUUGUUGGUGGGGUGAUGGCCUACCAAGGCGACGACGGGUAGCCGGCCUGAGAGGGUGACCGGCCGCACUGGGACUGAGAUACGGCCCAGACUCCUACGGGAGGCAGCAGUGGGGAAUAUUGCACAAUGGGCGCAAGCCUGAUGCAGCGACGCCGCGUGAGGGAUGACGGCCUUCGGGUUGUAAACCUCUUUCAGCACAGACGAAGCGCAAGUGACGGUAUGUGCAGAAGAAGGACCGGCCAACUACGUGCCAGCAGCCGCGGUAA
This 478-nucleotide ribosomal RNA is filed under the name uncultured bacterium. Its description in RNAcentral is "partial 16S ribosomal RNA". It matches the Rfam family "Bacterial small subunit ribosomal RNA", at positions 28 to 523 of the family's 1533-position model. The record is from RNAcentral.